Molecule: transfer RNA, 70 nt
Filed under: Alosa alosa (allis shad)
Lineage: Eukaryota; Metazoa; Chordata; Actinopteri; Clupeiformes; Clupeidae
Description: tRNA-Leu
Rfam family: tRNA
About the family: Transfer RNA (tRNA) molecules are approximately 80 nucleotides in length. Their secondary structure includes four short double-helical elements and three loops (D, anti-codon, and T loops).
Source: RNAcentral
GUUUCCAUAGUGUAGUGGUUAUCACGUUAAACUAACACGAAAGGUCCCCAGUUCAAACUGGGUGGAAACA